GGUCGGAUAAGGCGUUUACGCCGCAUCCGACAUCAAUGUCUGAUGCGAUGCUGACGUGUCUUAUCAGGCC
Molecule: non-coding RNA, 70 nt
Filed under: Escherichia coli
Lineage: Bacteria; Pseudomonadati; Pseudomonadota; Gammaproteobacteria; Enterobacterales; Enterobacteriaceae
Description: Nucleoid-associated noncoding RNA 4 (CssrE)
Rfam family: Nucleoid-associated noncoding RNA 4 (CssrE)
About the family: In E. coli small RNA transcribed from repeated extragenic palindromic element (REP325) called nucleoid-associated ncRNA 4 (nRNA4) collaborates HU protein in condensing the DNA. The secondary structure but not the sequence of the RNA is important in nucleoid condensation.
Source: RNAcentral